UACGUAGGGGGCGAGCGUUGUCCGGAUUUAUUGGGCGUAAAGAGCUCGUAGGCGGUUCAACAAGUCGGUCGUGAAAGUUCAGGGCUCAACCCUGAAAUGUCGAUCGAUACUGUUGUGACUAGGAUACGGUAGAGGUGAGUGGAAUUCCGAGUGUAGCGGUGAAAUGCGUAGAUAUUCGGAGGAACACCAAUUGCGAAGGCAGCUCACUGGGCCGCUAUCGACGCUGAGGAGCGAAAGCUAGGGGAGCAAACAGGAUUAGAUACCCUGGUAGUCCUAGCUGUAAACGAUGGAUACUAGACGUAGGAACUGGAUUGACGGUUUCUGUGUCGUAGCUAACGCGUUAAGUAUCCCGCCUGGGGAGUACGGUCGCAAGACUAAAACUCAAAGGAAUUGACGGGACCCCGCACAAGCGGCGGAGCAUGCGGCUUAAUUCGAUGAUACCCGUAGAACCUUACCUGGACUUGACAUAUAGGGUCUAGCUAUAGAGAUAUAGUGUGCAUUAGCGCCCUAUACAGGUGGUGCAUGGCUGUCGUCAGCUCGUGUCGUGAGAUGUUGGGUUAAGUCCCGCAACGAGCGCAACCCCUAUCCUAUGUUGCCAGCAUUUAGUUGGGGACUCAUAGGAGACUGCCGGUGAUAAACCGGAGGAAGGUGGGGACGGCGUCAAGUCAUCAUGCCCCUUAUGUCCAGGGCUGCACGCAUGCUACAAUGGCAAGUACAACGAGUCGCAAUACCGCGAGGUGGAGCAAAUCUCUUAAAGCUUGUCUCAGUUCGGAUAGGAGUCUGCAACUCGACUCCUUGAAGUUGGAGUCGCUAGUAAUCGCAAAUCAGCAAAGUUGCGGUGAAUACGUUCUCGGGGUU
RNAcentral lists this ribosomal RNA (858 nucleotides) under uncultured bacterium. RNAcentral's name for it is "SSU rRNA". It matches the Rfam family "Bacterial small subunit ribosomal RNA", at positions 524 to 1381 of the family's 1533-position model. The record is from RNAcentral.